Molecule: ribosomal RNA, 253 nt
Filed under: uncultured bacterium
Lineage: Bacteria
Description: partial 16S ribosomal RNA
Rfam family: Bacterial small subunit ribosomal RNA
Source: RNAcentral
UACGUAGGGUGCGAGCGUUGUCCGGAAUUAUUGGGCGUAAAGGGCUCGUAGGCGGUCUGUCACGUCGGGAGUGAAAACUCGGGGCUUAACUCCGAGCCCGCUUCUGAUACGGGCAGACUAGAGGUAUGCAGGGGAGAAUGGAAUUCCUGGUGUAGCGGUGAAAUGCGCAGAUAUCAGGAGGAACACCGGUGGCGAAGGCGGUUCUCUGGGCAUGACCUGACGCUGAGGAGCGAAAGUGUGGGGAGCGAACAGG